AGUGAACGCUGGCGGUAGGCCUAACACAUGCAAGUCGAACGGCAGCACAGUAAGAGCUUGCUCUUACGGGUGGCGAGUGGCGGACGGGUGAGGAAUACAUCGGAAUCUACUUUUUCGUGGGGGAUAACGUAGGGAAACUUACGCUAAUACCGCAUACGACCUACGGGUGAAAGCAGGGGAUCGUCGGACCUUGCGCGAUUGAAUGAGCCGAUGUCGGAUUAGCUAGUUGGCGGGGUAAAGGCCCACCAAGGCGACGAUCCGUAGCUGGUCUGAGAGGAUGAUCAGCCACCCUGGAACUGAGACACGGUCCAGACUCCUACGGGAGGCAGCAGUGGGGAAUAUUGGACAAUGGUCGCAAGCCUGAUCCAGCCAUACCGCGUGGGUGAAGAAGGCCUUCGGGUUGUAAAGCCCUUUUGUUGGGAAAGAAAAGCAGCAGGUUAAUACCCCGCUGUUCUGACGGUACCCAAAGAAUAAGCACCGGCUAACUUCGUG
Molecule: ribosomal RNA, 492 nt
Filed under: uncultured bacterium
Lineage: Bacteria
Description: partial 16S ribosomal RNA
Rfam family: Bacterial small subunit ribosomal RNA
Source: RNAcentral